UGUGCACACGUACAAACAAAGGUAAUGGUGAUCUCGCAAACACAGUUGGUUUCCGGAGCUAAGUGAGCAGGAGCGCUUGUGUCGUAGUAUUGAAGAAGCUGUUUACUCUCCCAGGGUCACCCUUCAGAUCUCGUCUUCUCACUGAGACUGGCUCUGUUUUCUUCUCUGUGUUUUUUAUUGCAGUUUAUUAUUUCCAUGAUUAUUACACAAGGCAUUACCCUUGAGCUAAAAUUCAAUUUUCCAAUAAGCAGCUAGAAUUAGAUAACAUUGUUCUAUGAAUAUACACUAAUCUGGGUUAUUAAAAAACUUCACAAUUAAAAAACAAAAUAGAACCCUUGCAUUAGUUAUCCAGUCAUUGUUUGGAUGUUUGGGAAAACAGAGGUCAUAGUUAUUCAUAGAGAAAUGGCUUUCCUGUUAUUUUCCUUACCAAGUUGAAAUUUGUCCCAGUUUUUGGCCACCAGGAUCUAUGAAAGGACCUAUGUUCUUUUCAAGGGAAAUGAUUCCUCUUCUAUUCCCACUGUUGAUUAAAUAAAUCAUUGACACUUUCCCAUGUCCACUGGCCAA
RNAcentral lists this long non-coding RNA (564 nucleotides) under Bos taurus (domestic cattle). RNAcentral describes it as "long non-coding RNA NONBTAT016287". The record is from RNAcentral. Lineage: Eukaryota; Metazoa; Chordata; Mammalia; Artiodactyla; Bovidae.